This 637-nucleotide ribosomal RNA is filed under the name uncultured marine eukaryote. RNAcentral describes it as "SSU rRNA". It matches the Rfam family "Eukaryotic small subunit ribosomal RNA", at positions 616 to 1257 of the family's 1831-position model. The record is from RNAcentral.
CAGUUAGAACGCUCGUAGUCGGAUUUCGGGGCGGGCCGACCGGUCUGCCGAUGGGUACGCACUGGUCGGCGCGUCCUUCCUUCCGGAGACCGUGCCUACUCUUAACUGAGCGGGGGCGGGAGACGGAUCGUUUACUUUGAAAAAAUCAGAGUGUUUCAAGCAGGCAGCUCGCUCUUGCAUGGAUUAGCAUGGGAUAAUGAAAUAGGACUUUGGUGCUAUUUUGUUGGUUUCGAACACCGAAGUAAUGAUUAACAGGGACAGUCAGGGGCACUCGUAUUCCGCCGAGAGAGGUGAAAUUCUCAGACCAGCGGAAGACGAACUACUGCGAAAGCAUUUGCCAGGGAUGUUUUCACUGAUCAAGAACGAAAGUUAGGGGAUCGAAGAGGAUCAGACACCCUCGUAGUCUUAACCAUAAACCAUGCCGACUAGGGAUUGGGGGAUGUUCACAUAUUGACUCCCUCAGCACCUUACGGGAAACUAAAGUCUUUGGGUUCCGGGGGGAGUAUGGUCGCAAGGCUGAAACUUAAAGGAAUUGACGGAAGGGCACCACCAGGUGUGGAGCCUGCGGCUUAAUUUGACUCAACACGGGGAGACUUACCAGGUCCAGACAUUGUGAGGAUUGACAGAUUGAGAGCUC